This 496-nucleotide ribosomal RNA is filed under the name uncultured bacterium. RNAcentral describes it as "partial 16S ribosomal RNA". It matches the Rfam family "Bacterial small subunit ribosomal RNA", at positions 29 to 507 of the family's 1533-position model. The record is from RNAcentral.
AUGAACGCUGGCGGCGUGCCUAAUACAUGCAAGUCGAGCGAACGGACGAGAAGCUUGCUUCUCUGAUGUUAGCGGCGGACGGGUGAGUAACACGUGGAUAACCUACCUAUAAGACUGGGAUAACUUCGGGAAACCGUAGCUAAUACCGGAUAAUAUUUUGAACCGCAUGGUUCAAAAGUGAAAGACGGUCUUGCUGUCACUUAUAGAUGGAUCCGCGCUGCAUUAGCUAGUUGGUAAGGUAACGGCUUACCAAGGCAACGAUGCAUAGCCGACCUGAGAGGGUGAUCGGCCACACUAGAACUGAGACACGGUCCAGCCUCCUACGGGAGGCAGCAGUAGGAUAUCUUCCGCAAUGGGAGAAAACCUGACGGAACGGCGCCGCGUGAGUGAUGAAGAUCUUCGGAUCGUAAGACUCUGUUAUUAGGGAAGAACAUAUGUGUAAGUAACUGUACACAUCUUGACGGUACCUAAUCAGAAAGCCACGGCUAACUACGUG